Molecule: long non-coding RNA, 1498 nt
Filed under: Mytilus galloprovincialis (Mediterranean mussel)
Lineage: Eukaryota; Metazoa; Mollusca; Bivalvia; Mytilida; Mytilidae
Source: RNAcentral
AAUGUACAUGUAAUAAGCUAGUAUUUCUUAACUUAAUGCGCUGUCUUUGAUUAAUCUAUGUUGAGGACCAAUCUUUCACAACUAAUGUUCAUGUUCUAAGGCCAUAAUAAAUAAUAGGUUUGUUUGCCGAAACGCUACCUACCCAGAAAAAAGCUGCCUACUCAAAUUCUUUUAUUGUCCUGAUUUGAAGAAGUUUUUUUUUUAAUCAAAUAGGCAUGAAGACUAAUAAACAUCUGAUACUUCAAUUUCUUUUCUACCUACCUACCCACUGUCUCAACCUUUGGGUAGGGUUUGGGUAAACCAAAAUAUUUUAAGUGUGGCCUAAGCUACUACUUCUUAAUUUUUUGUUUGUAAAGACUUUGAUUAAUUAAUGGUGAGGACUUAAUUUCUACUGACUAAUGUACAUAAACUAAGCUACUAUUUCUUAACUUUAUGCUCUGUCUUUGAUUAUUAAAUGGUGACGAAAUGCAGUGGCAGAUCCAGGGAAAAGGGGGAGGGUGUGUGUUCAGGGGUUUGACACCCCCUCUUUAUCUUGGCGAUCAAUACAUUUGAAUGGGGACAAAUGAUUGGAACCCCCUUUUAAAAAUGACUGGAUCUGCCCCUGAAUUGGUCAAUAUAAACUUGCUACGCUACUUUUUCAUACUUAAAAGUAUGCUCCGACUUUGAUUAUUAAAUGGUGGCGAGCACUAGUAACAAAUUGCAGUGGCAGAUCCAAGGAAAAAGGGGGGGGGGGGUUCAGGGGUUUGGAACCCCCUCUUUAUCUUGGCGAUCAAUACAUUUUAAUGGGGACAUAUGAUUGGAACCCCCUUUUAAAAAUGACUAGAUCUGCCCCUGAAUUGGUAAAUAUAAACUUGCUACACUACUUUUUCAUACUUAAAGUAUGCUCCGACUUUGAUUAUUCAAUCUUGAGGAGCAUUUGUUAAUGAUUGGUCAGGAUAAAGUUUACGUUAGGUAAAUAUGUCUGAUUGAACAUUAUACCAUGUAACUUUAAGUAUAUAAAGUUCAGUUUGGAAGCAUUAGCAAAAAGUUUGACUAGGUCUAUCUCACUAUGUCUAUCUCAUGGUUAUGACCAGACUGCAAUGUUGAAUUCUUGCACAAAGUCAUGCAGCCGAAUAUUUUUUAUUAAAGUACUCAACAUGCAUUAACCAAAAAUAUCUCAUGCCUGUCUUUCAGAUUCAAACAAAACUUCAAUAAGCUACGAAAAUGUCAAUUAAUAUUGUAAUGAUUUUAUGGUUAAUGGGUCCUGCCUGGAAAAAUUAUGCAUGCUUUAUGUAAAAAGAAGGAAUUAAUGUACAUUUUUGUAGCUCUACACCGGUAAAUCAUGCUGUAAGAACAUUAAAUAUUUCAUUUCAAUGUAAAACAUUUGUUUUUGUAUAUAUAAAUGCAAUGCUGCCCAUCAAAGGUCGUUAAUUAGGCAGCAACCAUUUGAUUUUCGGGGGGGGGGCUAUGGUUUUUUUUUCUGUACAAACUUUUUUUUUCGCCUGUGGCGAAAAACAAU